RNAcentral lists this ribosomal RNA (522 nucleotides) under uncultured bacterium. RNAcentral's name for it is "bacterial SSU rRNA". It matches the Rfam family "Archaeal small subunit ribosomal RNA", at positions 345 to 866 of the family's 1478-position model. The record is from RNAcentral.
AACCUCCGCAAUGUGAGAAAUCGCGACGGGGGGAUCCCAAGUGCCAUUCUUAACGGGAUGGCUUUUCUUAAGUGUAAAAAGCUUUUGGAAUAAGAGCUGGGCAAGACCGGUGCCAGCCGCCGCGGUAACACCGGCAGCUCUAGUGGUAGCUGUCUUUAUUGGGCCUAAAGCGUUCGUAGCCGGUUUGAUAAGUCACUGGUGAAAUCCUGUAGCUUAACUGUGGGAAUUGCUGGUGAUACUGUUGAACUUGAGGUCGGGAGAGGUUAGCGGUACUCCCAGGGUAGAGGUGAAAUUCUGUAAUCCUGGGAGGACCACCUGUGGCGAAGGCGGCUAACUGGAACGAACCUGACGGUGAGGGACGAAAGCUAGGGGCGCGAACCGGAUUAGAUACCCGGGUAGUCCUAGCCGUAAACGAUGCGGGCUUGGUGUUGGGAUGGCUUUUGAGCCGCUCCGGUGCCGAAGGGAAGCUGUUAAGUCCGCCGCCUGGGAAGUACGGUCGCAAGACUGAAACUUAAAGGAAUU